AACGAACGCUGGCGGCGUGGUUCAGGCAUGCAAGUCGAACGGUACAUCGCAAGAUGUAUAGUGGCAGAAGGGUUAGUAACACGUGGGCAAUCUACCCCCGAGUCGGGGAUAACACCGCGAAAGCGGUGCUAAUACCCGAUAAUAUUCUCCGGUGGCAUCAUCGGACAAUCAAAGGUGGCCGCAAGGCUGCCGAUUGGGGAGGAGCCCGCGGCCUAUCAGCUAGUUGGUGAGGUAACGGCCCACCAAGGCUUUUGACGGGUAGCUGGUCUUAGAGGACGAUCAGCAACAUUGGGACUGAGACACUGCCCAGACUCCUACGGGAGGCUGCAGUCGAGGAUCUUUAGCAAUGCCCGAAAGGGUGACUAUGCGACGCCGCGUGCAGGAUGAAGGCCUUCGGGUUGUAAACUGCUGUCAGUGGGGAAGAAACCCUUAUAUUUAAAAGAUGUAAGGCUGACAUCACCCACAAAGGAAGCCACGGCUAACUCUGCGC
This 490-nucleotide ribosomal RNA is filed under the name uncultured bacterium. RNAcentral's name for it is "bacterial SSU rRNA". It matches the Rfam family "Bacterial small subunit ribosomal RNA", at positions 29 to 508 of the family's 1533-position model. The record is from RNAcentral.